AAUUGAGACUACAAUGGGUCGUAAUCCAAUUAAAAUUUUAUUAAUUAUAGCAAGUAGAAUAUGAGCAAAAACAGCGCUGGACGGCAGGGGAGUCUACGCUCCACCAACUGCCGUGUUGGGUAGAUAAGACUGUCCUUUUUAUACAUCCCGACUCCCGCGUUCAUAGAGUGGUGGAGAUACUCUGCGCAUGUUCCAACUGUUGCUAGGGGUCUAAAGUGGUGGAGAUACUCUGCGCAUGUUCCAACUGUUGCUAGGGGGUCUGUUUUCUUCUCGCGGCCGACCCCCCGCUUUCAUGUCCUUAUACGGAGCUGUUUUUCUUACUUUUAUCAGUUUCCUCGGGACAUCCUGCGGUUUGCACAAGCGGCGUCGGCCACGUUUGCACAAGCGACAGCUGAGUUAGUAGCUGUUUGCCUUAGCGAUUUCACAUCCUUUGUUAUCCGACCUUUACAUUGGGUUUAGUCUAAGUCUCAAUAAACA
Long non-coding RNA from Tyto alba (common barn owl), 477 nucleotides. RefSeq lists it as uncharacterized. The record is from RefSeq and is a predicted model, not a curated record. The transcript is spliced from 3 exons. NCBI's taxonomy places the organism in Eukaryota, Metazoa, Chordata, Aves, Strigiformes, Tytonidae.